RNAcentral lists this ribosomal RNA (245 nucleotides) under uncultured bacterium. RNAcentral's name for it is "partial 16S ribosomal RNA". It matches the Rfam family "Bacterial small subunit ribosomal RNA", at positions 524 to 768 of the family's 1533-position model. The record is from RNAcentral.
UACAGAGGUGGCGAGCGUUACUCGGAUUUAUUGGGUGUAAAGGGCAGGUAGGUGGCUAGGUAAGUUGGAGGUGAAAUCCUGCGGCUUAACCGCAGAACUGCCUUCAAAACUGCCUAGCUUGAGGCUGGAAGAGGAGAACGGAAUUCCCGGUGUAAGGGUGAAAUCUGUAGAUAUCGGGAAGAACACCAGUGGCGAAAGCGGUUCUCUAGUCCAGCUCUGACACUAAGCUGCGAAAGCUCGGGGAG